Molecule: long non-coding RNA, 514 nt
Filed under: Homo sapiens (human)
Lineage: Eukaryota; Metazoa; Chordata; Mammalia; Primates; Hominidae
Description: HSALNT0397599
Source: RNAcentral
GGGGAUGCAGCCCAGUAAGUCUCAGCCUCAUUUUACCUGGCCCCUACUCAAGAUGGGGUUGCUCUGGUUCAAACGCCUCUGACAGGGUGACAACUGUGACCACAACAGAUUCACAAACAUGACAUUUUCAGAGAGAGGAAGGUGGUUGUGCUCACCCCGCAUCAAGGUUGCUAAGCUGCUGUGAUGGAAUCCUGGAGCUGCUGAAGGACACCUCAUCUCUUUGUGGGAAGCAUCUGCUUGAGGAUUAAGGGAAUGCAGAAAAAAAGUGGAGUAGAGAGAUGGAGGAAGAUGACUUUCGAGGACAUUGUGUGAGCACCUGGAUCUAACUGUGCCUGAAGCAAAACUCAAACCCUGGACUCUCAAUGUAUUGGCUCUCAGUUCCAAGACCCAAUAAAUUCCUUCUUAGCUUAGAAUGCUUUGCUCAGAUGUCUGUUACUUCCAGCCAAAUGUGUUUUAAUACAGAAAGCUCUUGGGGGCUCAAAUAACAGAAAGGGAAGCUAUAUGAGAAGCUGAG